GUAUUCGUGGUUCAGUGGUAGAAUUCUCGCCUUCCAAGCAGGAGACCCAGGUUCAAUUCCUAGCCAACACA
RNAcentral lists this transfer RNA (71 nucleotides) under Loxodonta africana (African savanna elephant). It matches the Rfam family "tRNA". Rfam says of the family: Transfer RNA (tRNA) molecules are approximately 80 nucleotides in length. Their secondary structure includes four short double-helical elements and three loops (D, anti-codon, and T loops). Lineage: Eukaryota; Metazoa; Chordata; Mammalia; Proboscidea; Elephantidae. The record is from Rfam by way of RNAcentral.